Molecule: ribosomal RNA, 348 nt
Filed under: Triticum aestivum (bread wheat)
Lineage: Eukaryota; Viridiplantae; Streptophyta; Magnoliopsida; Poales; Poaceae
Description: partial small subunit ribosomal RNA
Source: RNAcentral
AUGCGGGUACGUACACAUUUGUACAAUUAUGAUAACCAUAUUGAUGAGGACAUGGAUACCACAGUUACACCCACAAUCCAUGCUACUAUACCUAUCAGACCAAUUACUAGAGCCCGCGCACGCCAGUUAAAUUAUCAGGUACUUUCAUUUCUUAGUAAUGUUUCUAAUGUUCAUGAGAAUGUGAUGCUGCCUAACUUGGAUACAUUUGAGUUGCUUACAAUUGAAGGGCUUAGCACAGACAAGAAGGAUGAACAGUGGAGCAUGAUCAAGCACAGAGAUGAAGACGUGUGCGAAGAGAACAAGAACGGAGGUUCCAGUGGAGAUUUCCGAACUUUGAAGCCACCAUGA